CGCCACUUUGGGUACUUGAGGAG
This 23-nucleotide microRNA is filed under the name Capra hircus (goat). RNAcentral describes it as "chi-miR-410-5p". Its record names the gene chi-miR-410-5p. Lineage: Eukaryota; Metazoa; Chordata; Mammalia; Artiodactyla; Bovidae. The record is from miRBase by way of RNAcentral. RNAcentral also lists the same sequence under 1 other name.